UACGGAGGAUGCGAGCGUUAUCCGGAUUUAUUGGGUUUAAAGGGUGCGUAGGCGGUGGAUUAAGUCAGCGGUAAAAGACCGGGGCUCAACCCCGGCAAGCCGUUGAAACUGGUCUGCUGGAGUUGGAGAGAAGUAUGCGGAAUGCGCGGUGUAGCGGUGAAAUGCAUAGAUAUCGCGCAGAACUCCGAUUGCGAAGGCAGCAUACCGGCUCCAUACUGACGCUGAGGCACGAAAGCGUGGGUAUCGAACAGG
This 252-nucleotide ribosomal RNA is filed under the name uncultured bacterium. Its description in RNAcentral is "partial 16S ribosomal RNA". It matches the Rfam family "Bacterial small subunit ribosomal RNA", at positions 524 to 776 of the family's 1533-position model. The record is from RNAcentral.